GCCGCGUGAGGGAGGAAGGCUCUUGGGUUGUAAACCUCUUUUCUCAAGGAAGAUAAUGACGGUACUUGAGGAAUCAGCAUCGGCUAACUCCGUGCCAGCAGCCGCGGUAAGACGGAGGAGGCAAGCGUUAUCCGGAAUUAUUGGGCGUAAAGCGUCCGCAGGCGGCUAAUCAAGUCUGCUGUUAAAGGCCGAGGCUUAACUUCGGUUGAGCAGUGGAAACUGAUUAGCUAGAGUGCGAUAGGGGUAGAGGGAAUUCCCGGUGUAGUGGUGAAAUACGUAGAUAUUAGGAAGAACACCAGUGGCGAAGGCGACUCUCUGGGUUAACACUGACGCUGAGGUACGAAAGCUGGGGGAGCGAACGGGAUUAGAUACCCCUGUAGUC
Molecule: ribosomal RNA, 382 nt
Filed under: uncultured cyanobacterium
Lineage: Bacteria; Bacillati; Cyanobacteriota
Description: bacterial SSU rRNA
Rfam family: Bacterial small subunit ribosomal RNA
Source: RNAcentral